GACGAACGCUGGCGGCGUGCUUAACACAUGCAAGUCGAACGGAAAGGCCCUGCUUUUGUUGGGUGCUCGAGUGGCGAACGGGUGAGUAACGCGUGAGUAACCUGCCCUUGACUUUGGGAUAACUUCAGGAAACUGGGGCUAAUACCGCAUAGGAGCUCCUGCUGCAUGGUGGGGGUUGGAAAGGGUCGGCGGUUGGGGAUGGACUCGCGGCGUCUCAGCUUGUUGGUGGGGUAGUGGCUUACCACGGCGUUGACGGGUAGCCGGCCUGGGAGGGGGACCGGCCACACUGGGACUGGAAUGAGGCCCAGACUCCAACGGGAGGCAGGGGUGGGGAAGGUGGCACAAUGGGCGGAAGGAAGAUGCAGUAACGCCGCGUGGGGGAGGACGAGAUGCGGGUUGGAAACCGAUUUCCUCUGGGACGAGGCGUGAGUGACGGUAAUGGGUAAAGAAGCACCGGCUAACUACGUG
RNAcentral lists this ribosomal RNA (468 nucleotides) under uncultured bacterium. RNAcentral's name for it is "partial 16S ribosomal RNA". It matches the Rfam family "Bacterial small subunit ribosomal RNA", at positions 28 to 507 of the family's 1533-position model. The record is from RNAcentral.